GUGGGAGGGGCAACUCGACAAUGAAAUACCACUGCCUUUUACUGUUAUUUCACUCACCGUAUGAAAGAGCAAAGUGCAAGUUUACUUCGGUAUUCUUGUACUAUUCUAGACGAAGCCAUUUUCCUACGGGUUUAUGGUAAGCUCCUGUAUCAAUAUGGAACAGAUUCAGGUAGGGAGUUUGGCUGGGGCGGCACAACUGUUAAAAGAUAACGCAGGUGUACAAAGGCUAGCACAGAAAGGUCAGAAACCUUUCGUAGCGGACAAGGCCAAUAGCUUAGCUUGACAAAUAUUUU
This 293-nucleotide ribosomal RNA is filed under the name Escherichia coli. RNAcentral describes it as "partial 23S ribosomal RNA". It matches the Rfam family "Eukaryotic large subunit ribosomal RNA", at positions 2469 to 2734 of the family's 3401-position model. Lineage: Bacteria; Pseudomonadati; Pseudomonadota; Gammaproteobacteria; Enterobacterales; Enterobacteriaceae. The record is from RNAcentral.